UGAGCAAGGUGGCUCAGAGUUCGUGCCAGU
This 30-nucleotide non-coding RNA is filed under the name Homo sapiens (human). The record is from RNAcentral. Lineage: Eukaryota; Metazoa; Chordata; Mammalia; Primates; Hominidae.